Molecule: small nuclear RNA, 162 nt
Organism: Echinops telfairi (small Madagascar hedgehog)
Lineage: Eukaryota; Metazoa; Chordata; Mammalia; Afrosoricida; Tenrecidae
Gene: U1
Rfam family: U1 spliceosomal RNA
About the family: U1 is a small nuclear RNA (snRNA) component of the spliceosome (involved in pre-mRNA splicing).
Source: Ensembl
AUAUUUCCCUGGCAGGGGAGAUACCAUGAACACUAAGGUGGUUUUCUCAGGGGAAGGGUUAUCUAUUGCUCUCCAGAUAUGCUGACUCCUGCAAUUUUCCCAAAUAUAGGCAAUUCAACUACAUCAUUGGUGGUAGUGGGGACUGCAUUCACUCACUCCCCU